Molecule: ribosomal RNA, 451 nt
Filed under: Veillonella parvula
Lineage: Bacteria; Bacillati; Bacillota; Negativicutes; Veillonellales; Veillonellaceae
Description: bacterial SSU rRNA
Rfam family: Bacterial small subunit ribosomal RNA
Source: RNAcentral
GAACGCUGGCGGCAUGCUUUACACAUGCAAGUCGAACGAAGAGCGAUGGGAGCAUGCUUCUAUCAAUCAUAGUGGCGAACGGGUGAGUAACGGGUAAUCAACCUGCCCUUCAGAGGGGGACAACAGUUGGAAACGACUGCUAAUACCGCAUACGAUCUAAUCUCGGCAUCGAGGAUAGAUGAAAGGUGGCCUCUACAUGUCAGCUAUCACUGAAGGAGGGGAUUGCGUCUGAUUAGCUAGUUGAAGGGGUAACGGCCCACCAAGGCGAUGAUCAGUAGCCGGUCUGAGAGGAUGAACGGCCACAUUGGGACUGAGACACGGCCCAGACUCCUACGGGAGGCAGCAGUGGGGAAUCUUCCGCAAUGGACGAAAGUCUGACGGAGCAACGCCGCGUGAGUGAUGACGACCUUCGGGUUGUAAAGCUCUGUUAAUCGGGACGAAAGGCCUUCUG